UGAGGAAUAUUGCGCAAUGGGGGAAACCCUGACGCAGCGACGCCGCGUGAGUGAGGAAGGCCUUCGGGUCGUAAAGCUCUGUCAAGAGGAAAGAAGUGUACAAUGGUUAAUAUCUGUUGUAUUGACGUACUUAAG
Molecule: ribosomal RNA, 135 nt
Filed under: uncultured bacterium
Lineage: Bacteria
Description: partial 16S ribosomal RNA
Rfam family: Bacterial small subunit ribosomal RNA
Source: RNAcentral